AUGCGUAAGAAGGGAGAAGGAGCAGAUGUGACCUUCAGUGUGUGUGGCAACCUGUUCCAUGCUCACAGAUGUUUGCUGGCUGCAAGAUCCCUGGUUUUCAAGGCAGAACUAUUUGGUCCAAUGAAGGAGAAGGCAACACGGAGCAUCAAGGUGGAGGACAUCGAGCCCCUAGUCUUCGAGGCGCUUCUUCACUUUGUGUACACGGAUUCCAUGCCUGAUGAUGAACACUCCAAAGAUUGGAACAUGGCAAAGCUUCAGCACUUGCUAGUUGCUCACCUGCUAGUCGCCGCGGAUCGAUACGGGCUAGAUAGGUUGAGGGCGCUUUGUGAAAGCAAGCUCUGCGAGAGCAUUGACGUGGAGACUGUGGCGACAACACUGGUUUUAGCAGAGCAACACCAUUGCAAGGAUCUCAAGGAAGCUUGUGUUGAGUUCAUUGCUGCAUGGAAUGUGCUACCGGCUGUUAUGGCGACUGAUGGAUUCAAGCAUUUGGUUGCAAGCUGUCCUCUGCUCAUGAGGGAAAUACUGGACAAAGUUUCCUCUAGUGAUUAG
Molecule: ribosomal RNA, 549 nt
Filed under: Triticum aestivum (bread wheat)
Lineage: Eukaryota; Viridiplantae; Streptophyta; Magnoliopsida; Poales; Poaceae
Description: partial small subunit ribosomal RNA
Source: RNAcentral